AUAAUUUUGAGUUUGAUCCUGGCUCAGAGUGAAUGCUCUUAACAUGCUUUACACAUGCGAGGUAAACGGCUAAUACUUUUAGUAUUAUCAGUAACGCACGGGUGCGUAAUAGUGGGUAAAAAUGUGUCUGUUGCAAAUAGAUGAUAUCGGAGGCUCGUUUCUUUCCACUCGUAAUGUGCAAUAAUUUAACUAGCGGAGUACUAUAUUUUUUUCACUACGUAUAAUGCUAAUUAAAAAAAAGAUUUAUUGCAGAUGCGUUUUAUCCAUCAAGAUCAGGUUGUUGGUGAAGAACAGCUCACCAAGCCGGAGACCUUUAGCUAGUUUGAAAAAAUGUGUAGCCACAUCGGGACUGUAACAAGGCCCGAAUUCCUUAGGGAGGCAGCAGUGGGGAAUACUGGACAAUGAGUUAAUGCUUGAUCCGGCAAUGUUAAACGAAUGACUUGAAAGUAAUGAGCUGUAAAAUUCAUAAAGCUGAGUCACUAUAAAGUGAAUGACUUGGUAAAGCCCCGACUAACCUCGUGCCAGCAGUCGCGGUAAUACGGGGGGGGCAAGUGUUACUCAUCAUGACUAGGCGUAGAGGGUGUUAGGAUUGCUAACGUUUGUGGUUUUAGAAAGAUCAAUGGAAUUAUUGAAAAAUAUAACUUAAACGAGUUAGCUUGGGUUGGUUGGAGAAUAGAAUUACUAGUUUUUGAGGGGUAGAAUCCGACGAGAAGAUUAGGAGGACCAAAGGCGAAGGCAACUAUUUAUGAUCUACUGACAUUGAUACACGAAAGCGUGGGGAGCAAACAGGAUUAGAUACCCUGGUAGUCCACGCCCUGACCUAUGAAUGUGAAAAUAUCUUUUUGUAUUUAAACAAUGUUUCUAUGCAAUGCAGCCUAUUUGGCUUGUUUUGAAAAGUUUAUUUUAGCGAACGCGAAAGCAUUCCGCCUGGGGACUACGGCCGCAAGGUUGAAACUCAAAGGAAUUGACGGAGGAUCACACAAGCGGUGGAGCAUGUGGCUUAAUGCGUAAUAACGCGCAAAACCUUACCAGUUUUUGUAUGCUAAUGUGACUGGAUUUUAAAAAUCCGGGAGGUUAAAUCAUUUCUUAUUUCUUUGAGUUAAAAAAAUGACAGUUAGCACAGGAGCUGCAUGGCUGUCGUCAGUUCGUGCCGUGAGGUGUCAGGUUCAGUCCGAUAACGAACGUAACCCCGAGUUCUAGUUGUUUGGCUUGUAGGUUCAAACGUUUCACGUACUUACGGCCUAGUUAGGAAGACAGUCAUUGAAAAAUGAAGGAAGUAGGGAAGAUGUCAAGUCAGUAUGGCCUCGAUAAACUGGGCUGCCGCACAUGCUACAAUGCUGGUCACAGCACGUUGCAAAAAUGUGAGUUUGAGCAAAUCGCUAAAAAUUAGCUUAGUUCAGAUUAUUCUCUGCAACUCGAGAGUAUGAAGGCGGAAUCGCUAGUAAUCGCGGAUCAGCACGCCGCGGUGAAUUGGAAUCUGAUCCUAGUACAUACCGCCCGUCACGCCACGAAAAUUUGUUCUGUUGGAAGUUUUACGCACUGGGACUUUCGUUUUGCAAAUAUGCAUAAUUUUAUGUAUAAUUUUUUUAUUUGCACUUAAGAAUCUAAUAAAGCUAAGACAAUAACAGGAUAAGUAAUUAGGGUGAAGUCGUAACAGGGUAGUCGUAGGGGAACCUGUGGCUGGGUUAUUUUUUCA
RNAcentral lists this ribosomal RNA (1696 nucleotides) under Patescibacteria group bacterium. Its description in RNAcentral is "16S ribosomal RNA". It matches the Rfam family "Bacterial small subunit ribosomal RNA". The record is from RNAcentral.